GUCCCCGUGGCCUAAUUGGUUAAGGUGUCCACCUCCGGUAUUUUCCUGAUUCAAACUCAAAUUUGUUUUAGAGAGUUUAGUGGAUGAUUGCGGGUUCGAGUCCCGCCGGGGACU
This is a non-coding RNA of Cerrena zonata, 114 nucleotides long. NCBI's taxonomy places the organism in Eukaryota, Fungi, Basidiomycota, Agaricomycetes, Polyporales, Cerrenaceae. The record is from the annotation of a GenBank genome assembly.